Molecule: long non-coding RNA, 118 nt
Organism: Cygnus olor (mute swan)
Lineage: Eukaryota; Metazoa; Chordata; Aves; Anseriformes; Anatidae
Exons: 3
Source: RefSeq, a predicted model, not a curated record
UAUGAGCCAGCAGUGUGCUCAGGUGGCCAAGAAAACCAACAGCAUGCUGGUUAGUAUCAGAAAUGAUGUGACCAACAGGACUAGGGAAGUGAUUGUCCCUCUGUGCUCAGCUCUUGUG